UACGAGGGGGGCAAGCGUUGUUCGGAUUUAUUGGGCGUAAAGGGUGCGUAGGCGGUUUGGCAAGUCUUGUGUGAAAUCUUUGGGCUCAACCCAAAGUCUGCAUAAGAAACUGCCGGGCUUGAGUAUGGGAGAGGUGAGUGGAAUUCCGAGUGUAGAGGUGAAAUUCGUAGAUAUUCGGAAGAACACCAGUGGCGAAGGCGGCUCACUGGACCGGUAUUGACGCUGAGGUGCGAAAGCGUGGGGAGCAAACAGG
RNAcentral lists this ribosomal RNA (253 nucleotides) under uncultured bacterium. Its description in RNAcentral is "partial 16S ribosomal RNA". It matches the Rfam family "Bacterial small subunit ribosomal RNA", at positions 524 to 776 of the family's 1533-position model. The record is from RNAcentral.